CACGUAGGGUGCGAGCGUUGUCCGGAUUUAUUGGGCGUAAAGAGCUCGUAGGCGGCUUGUUGCGUCGACCGUGAAAACUCACCGCUUAACGGUGGGUCUGCAUUCGAUACGGGCUAGCUAGAGUGUGGUAGGGGAGAUCGGAAUUCCUGGUGUAGCGGUGAAAUGCGCAGAUAUCAGGAGGAACACCGAUGGCGAAGGCAGGUCUCUGGGCAUUAACUGACGCUGAGGAGCGAAAGCAUGGGGAGCGAACAGG
This 253-nucleotide ribosomal RNA is filed under the name uncultured bacterium. RNAcentral describes it as "partial 16S ribosomal RNA". It matches the Rfam family "Bacterial small subunit ribosomal RNA", at positions 524 to 776 of the family's 1533-position model. The record is from RNAcentral.